Molecule: long non-coding RNA, 426 nt
Organism: Gallus gallus (chicken)
Lineage: Eukaryota; Metazoa; Chordata; Aves; Galliformes; Phasianidae
Exons: 3
Source: RefSeq, a predicted model, not a curated record
AUCAUGGAAUCUUCAUUCCUGCGGAUGGCAGAGAAGGGCAUAGCCUCACACAGUGAUCUGUUGCUUCAUGAAAUCAUGGCAGGCUGGUUAGCUUCUUUGCCGUAAGUGUAGUUUGGUAAGGUGCCAUCUGAAAUUAACACCGAGACCUUCUAAUAUGCUAUUGACCCAGCCAGUCUGCAGGGGCUGCACAGGGUGGUGUUGUGAGGAAAAUAUGGAGGAGAGAUCUCUUCACACAAUUUCCACCGUUACUGUCUGUUUUUGCUGAGAAAAUGGACAUGGAUAUAAGGCAAAGGUGAUGUUCAUUUUGAGGUUGAGAAUAAUUUUAUUGGUAUGAGGAGCUGGAGGAUGUGGCACUGUGAUGAUGUCAGUGUUGUCUUCGCUUGUUCACUGAUCGUUACAUUUGUGAUUUUUGGAUUUUCCUUUUGA